Molecule: ribosomal RNA, 1346 nt
Filed under: uncultured bacterium
Lineage: Bacteria
Description: partial 16S ribosomal RNA
Rfam family: Bacterial small subunit ribosomal RNA
Source: RNAcentral
GACGAACGCUGGCGGCGUGCUUAACACAUGCAAGUCGAACGGAAAGGCCCUGCUUUUGUGGGGUGCUCGAGUGGCGAACGGGUGAGUAACACGUGAGUAACCUGCCCUUGACUUUGGGAUAACUUCAGGAAACUGGGGCUAAUACCGGAUAGGAGCUCCUGCUGCAUGGUGGGGGUUGGAAAGUUUCGGCGGUUGGGGAUGGACUCGCGGCUUAUCAGCUUGUUGGUGGGGUAGUGGCUUACCAAGGCUUUGACGGGUAGCCGGCCUGAGAGGGUGACCGGCCACAUUGGGACUGAGAUACGGCCCAGACUCCUACGGGAGGCAGCAGUGGGGAAUAUUGCACAAUGGGCGGAAGCCUGAUGCAGCAACGCCGCGUGCGGGAUGACGGCCUUCGGGUUGUAAACCGCUUUCGCCUGUGACGAAGCGUGAGUGACGGUAAUGGGUAAAGAAGCACCGGCUAAUUACGUGCCAGCAGCCGCGGUGAUACGUAGGGUGCGAGCGUUGUCCGGAUUUAUUGGGCGUAAAGGGCUCGUAGGUGGUUGAUCGCGUCGGAAGUGUAAUCUUGGGGCUUAACCCUGAGCGUGCUUUCGAUACGGGUUGACUUGAGGAAGGUAGGGGAGAAUGGAAUUCCUGGUGGAGCGGUGGAAUGCGCAGAUAUCAGGAGGAACACCAGUGGCGAAGGCGGUUCUCUGGGCCUUUCCUGACGCUGAGGAGCGAAAGCGUGGGGAGCGAACAGGCUUAGAUACCCUGGUAGUCCACGCUGUAAAUGGUGGGUACUAGGUGUGGGGUCCAUUCCACGGGUUCCGUGCCGUAGCUAACGCUUUAAGUACCCCGCCUGGGGAGUACGGCCGCAAGGCUAAAACUCAAAGGAAUUGACGGGGCCCCGCACAAGCGGCGGAGCAUGCGGAUUAAUUCGAUGCAACGCGUAGAACCUUACCUGGGUUUGACAUGGAUCGGGAGUGCUCAGAGAUGGGUGUGCCUCUUUUGGGGUCGGUUCACAGGUGGUGCAUGGCUGUCGUCAGCUCGUGUCGUGAGAUGUUGGGUUAAGUCCCGCAACGAGCGCAACCCUUGUUCACUGUUGCCAGCACGUUAUGGUGGGGACUCAGUGGAGACCGCCGGGGUCAACUCGGAGGAAGGUGGGGAUGACGUCAAGUCAUCACGCCCCUUAUGUCCAGGGCUUCACGCAUGCUACAAUGGCUGGUACAGAGAGUGGCGAGCCUGUGAGGGUGAGCGAAUCUCGGAAAGUCGGUCUCAGUUCGGAUUGGGGUCUGCAACUCGACCUCAUGAAGUCGGAGUCGCUAGUAAUCGCAGAUCAGCAACGCUGCGGUGAAUACGUUCCCGGGGCU